This 480-nucleotide ribosomal RNA is filed under the name uncultured bacterium. Its description in RNAcentral is "partial 16S ribosomal RNA". It matches the Rfam family "Bacterial small subunit ribosomal RNA", at positions 28 to 506 of the family's 1533-position model. The record is from RNAcentral.
GAUGAACGCUGGCGGCGUGCUUAACACAUGCAAGUCGAACGAAGCACUUUAUUUGAUUUCCUUCGGGACUGAUUAUUUUGUGACUGAGUGGCGGACGGGUGAGUAACGCGUGGGUAACCGGCCUUGUACAGGGGGAUAACAGUUGGAAACGGCUGCUAAUACCGCAUAAGCGCACGGCAUCGCAUGAUGCAUUGUGAAAAACUCCGGUGGUAUAAGAUGGACCCGCGUUGGGUUAGCUAGUUGGUGAGGUAACGGCCCACCAAGGCGACGAUCCAUAGCCGGCAUGGGAGGGUGGUCGGCAACAUUAGGACUGAGACACGGCCCAAACUCCUGAGGGAGGCAGCAGUGGGGAACAAUGCACAAUGGGCGAAUGCCGGAUGCAGCGACGCCGCGUGAGCGAAGAAGUAUGUCGGUAUGUAAAGCUCUAUCAGCAGGGAAGAUAAUGACGGUACCUGACUAAGAAGCACCGGCUAAAUACGU